GACGAACGCUGGCGGCGUGCUUAACACAUGCAAGUCGAACGGUGAAGCGCCUUCCUUUUUGGUGGGUGUGGAUGAGUGGCGAACGGGUGAGUAACACGUGAGUAACCUGCCCCCUUCUUCUGGAUAACCGCAUGAAAGUGUGGCUAAUACGGGAUAUUCUGGGUCUGUCGCAUGAUGGGUCUGGGAAAGAUAUUGUUUCGGUGGGGGAUGGGCUCGCGGCCUAUCAGCUUGUUGGUGGGGUGAUGGCCUACCAAGGCGGUGACGGGUAGCCGGCCUGAGAGGGUGGACGGUCUCACUGGGACUGAGUCACGGCCCAGACUCCUACGGGAGGCAGCAGUGGGGAAUAUUGCACAAUGGGCGCAAGCCUGAUGCAGCGCCGCCGCGUGAGGGAUGGAGGCCUUCGGGUUGUGAACCUCUUUCGCCAGUGAAGCAGGCCUGCCUCGUUUGUGGGUGGGUUGACGGUAGCUGGAUAAGAAGCGCCGGCUAACUACGUG
Molecule: ribosomal RNA, 494 nt
Filed under: uncultured bacterium
Lineage: Bacteria
Description: partial 16S ribosomal RNA
Rfam family: Bacterial small subunit ribosomal RNA
Source: RNAcentral